Molecule: ribosomal RNA, 253 nt
Filed under: uncultured bacterium
Lineage: Bacteria
Description: partial 16S ribosomal RNA
Rfam family: Bacterial small subunit ribosomal RNA
Source: RNAcentral
UUCAGAGGGUGCAAGCGUUAAUCGGAAUUACUGGGCGUAAAGCGCGCGUAGGUGGUUUGUUAAGUUGGAUGUGAGAGCCCCGGGCUCAACCUGGGAACUGCAUCCAAAACUGGCAAGCUAGAGUACAGUAGAGGGUGGUGGAAUUUCCUGUGUAGCGGUGAAAUGCGUAGAUAUAGGAAGGAACACCAGUGGCGAAGGCGACCACCUGGACUGAUACUGACACUGAGGUGCGAAAGCGUGGGGAGCAAACAGG